UAUUUGGAGUUUUUUUUAUCUUAUUGGAUGUGGCUCUCAUCCUUGCUAACCUAAUUUUCACUGAUAGCAAAGUUUAUAUUCCUUUGGAUUAUCAUUCUAUUUUUUCUAGCUAUUGCCUUAUUUUUUCUCAUGAAUGGUCUUCUUCGAGUAUUUGUAGAAGGGAAGUCGUGCAGUUUCUAGACAAGAAGCAUCCAAACCACUAUCAAGUCUACAAUCUAUGCAGUGAAAGAGCUUAUGAUCCUAAGCACUUCCAUAUUAGGGUCAGUAGAAUCAUGAUUGAUGAUCAUUAUGUCCCCACUCAUCAGUAAGAUGGUGGUAUUCUCCAAGGAAGUAAAUGAGUGGAUGACUCAAGAUCCUGAAAACAUCAUAGUGAUUCACUGUAAAGGAGGCAAAGGCGAUGGAUAUGAUCUAAAAGUCAAAAUAGUGAUGGAGAAAAAGGUUGUCUUUUCCUGUACUUACUUAAGAAAUUGUUAGGUAAGAGAAAACACGUGAAUUGAAAAAAAUCUGAUGUUUAAACAGAGCAAUAAUUGAUGUAUUCAACAGUCCACCUCUGUAUGAUGAUGUGAAAGUGCAAUUUUUCUCUUUGGAUCUUCCUAAAUACUAUGACAAUUGUCCUUUUUUCUUCUGGUUUAACACACCUUUUAUACAGCUUAAACCACAAAGAAAUGAAUUGGAUAAUCCACAUAAACAAAAGACAUGGAAAAUUUACGCACCAGAAUUUGCAGUAG
RNAcentral lists this long non-coding RNA (728 nucleotides) under Homo sapiens (human). RNAcentral's name for it is "non-protein coding lnc-ELF1-2:8". Lineage: Eukaryota; Metazoa; Chordata; Mammalia; Primates; Hominidae. The record is from RNAcentral.